UGGGGAAUAUUGGACAAUGGGCGCAAGCCUGAUCCAGCCAUGCCGCGUGAGUGAUGAAGGCCCUAGGGUUGUAAAGCUCUUUCGACGGGGACGAUAAUGACGGUACCCGUAGAAGAAGCCCCGGCUAACUUCGUGCCAGCAGCCGCGGUAAUACGAAGGGGGCUAGCGUUGUUCGGAAUCACUGGGCGUAAAGCGCACGUAGGCGGAUCGUUAAGUCGGGGGUGAAAUCCCAGGGCUCAACCCUGGAACUGCCUUCGAUACUGGCGAUCUUUGAGUCCGGGAGAGGUGAGUGGAACUCCGAGUGUAGAGGUGAAAUUCGUAGAUAUUCGGAAGAACACCAGUGGCGAAGGCGGCUCACUGGCCCCGGUACUGACGCUGAGGUGCGAAAGCGUGGGGGAGCGAAACAGGAUUAGAUACCCUGGUAGUCCACGCCGUAAACGAUGAAUGCUAGCCGUCGGUGAGCUUGCUCUUCGGUGGCGCAGCCAACGCAAUAAG
Molecule: ribosomal RNA, 495 nt
Filed under: uncultured Pseudomonadota bacterium
Lineage: Bacteria; Pseudomonadati; Pseudomonadota
Description: bacterial SSU rRNA
Rfam family: Bacterial small subunit ribosomal RNA
Source: RNAcentral